GGAAAGAUGGUAGAGUGGUUUAUUACAUCGGUCUUGAAAACCGAGAAAGUUUAUUCUUUCCAGGGUUCGAAUCCCUGUCUUUCCA
This 85-nucleotide transfer RNA is filed under the name Candidatus Carsonella ruddii. RNAcentral's name for it is "tRNA-Ser". It matches the Rfam family "tRNA". From Rfam's summary of the family: Transfer RNA (tRNA) molecules are approximately 80 nucleotides in length. The record is from RNAcentral. Lineage: Bacteria; Pseudomonadati; Pseudomonadota; Gammaproteobacteria; Oceanospirillales; Halomonadaceae.